CACUGUGUCUCAUUCACCCAUUCACACACACAUUCACACACCAAUGGUAGCAGAGCUGCCAUGCAAGGCACUGACUUGCCAUCGGGAGCAACUUGGGUUUCAGUGUCUUGCCCAAGGACACUUCGAUAUGUGGAGUCAUGUGGGCCGGGAAUGAAACAGCCUAUGCUACUGUGGCAGGCCGGUCCCACGGUGAAGCCCUCCGUGUCUCUGCUCCCUCCGUCUCCUCUGCAGCUGUCUGAGGGAUCGGCCUCGCUGCUCUGCCUGCUGUCUGGCUACUCUCCACAGGGGGCGCUGGUGAGCUGGACAGUGGACGGCUCAGAGGUGAAGGACAGGGUUCUGACCAGCGCAGAAGAACAGAAGAACGGCCGUUACAGCCGCAGCAGCACCCUGACCCUCAGCAAAGACCUCUGGGAAAAUGGGGAGCAGUUUGUCUGUACGGUCUCCCAUGACUGCGGCUAUCAUCCGGUCACGUUCAGAAAGAGUCAGUGUGAAGUCUAACAGCUCCAAGAUAGAAUUCAACACUGAGCUGCUUCUGAUCCAUCUACAAGAGUUUCAAUUCUACACAACGCUGACAUUUCUGUCUUUACUCUCUUCACUGUCCUGUUGCUCUUCCUGUAGUUUUUGCUGAAAUAAAGCUGAGUUUUGGA
Non-coding RNA from Ictalurus punctatus (channel catfish), 647 nucleotides. The record is from the annotation of a RefSeq genome assembly. Lineage: Eukaryota; Metazoa; Chordata; Actinopteri; Siluriformes; Ictaluridae.